GACGAACGCUGGCGGCGUGCUUAACACAUGCAAGUCGAACGGUGAAGCGCCUUCCUUUUUGGUGGGUGUGGAUGAGUGGCGAACGGGUGAGUAACACGUGAGUAACCUGCCCCCUUCUUCUGGAUAACCGCAUGAAAGUGUGGCUAAUACGGGAUAUUCUGGGUCUGUCGCAUGAUGGGUCUGGGAAAGAUAUUGUUUCGGUGGGGGAUGGGCUCGCGGCCUAUCAGCUUGUUGGGGGGGUGAUGGCCUACCAAGGCGGUGACGGGGAGCCGGCCUGAGAGGGUGGACGGUCACACUGGGACUGAGACACGGCCCAGACUCCUACGGGAGGCAGCAGUGGGGAAUAUUGCACAAUGGGCGCAAGCCUGAUGCAGCGACGCCGCGUGAGGGAUGGAGGCCGUCGGGUUGUGAACCUCUUUCGCCAGUGAAGCAGGCCUGCCUCGUUUGUGGGUGGGUUGACGGUAGCUGGAUAAGAAGCGCCGGCUAACUACGUG
RNAcentral lists this ribosomal RNA (494 nucleotides) under uncultured bacterium. Its description in RNAcentral is "partial 16S ribosomal RNA". It matches the Rfam family "Bacterial small subunit ribosomal RNA", at positions 28 to 507 of the family's 1533-position model. The record is from RNAcentral.